CCUGAUGACCAUAGCAAGUUGGUCCCACUCCUUCCCAUCUCGAACAGGACAGUGAAACGACUUAGC
RNAcentral lists this ribosomal RNA (66 nucleotides) under Limnohabitans planktonicus II-D5. Lineage: Bacteria; Pseudomonadati; Pseudomonadota; Betaproteobacteria; Burkholderiales; Comamonadaceae. The record is from RNAcentral.